This 1370-nucleotide ribosomal RNA is filed under the name uncultured bacterium. Its description in RNAcentral is "bacterial SSU rRNA". It matches the Rfam family "Bacterial small subunit ribosomal RNA". The record is from RNAcentral.
AGAGUUUGAUCCUGGCUCAGAACGAACGCUGGCGGCGUGGAUAAGACAUGCAAGUCGAACGAGAGAAUUGCUAGCUUGCUAAUAAUUCUCUAGUGGCGCACGGGUGAGUAACACGUGAGUAACCUGCCCCCGAGAGCGGGAUAGCCCUGGGAAACUGGGAUUAAUACCGCAUAGUAUCGAAAGAUUAAAGCAGCAAUGCGCUUGGGGAUGGGCUCGCGGCCUAUUAGUUAGUUGGUGAGGUAACGGCUCACCAAGGCGAUGACGGGUAGCCGGUCUGAGAGGAUGUCCGGCCACACUGGAACUGAGACACGGUCCAGACACCUACGGGUGGCAGCAGUCGAGAAUCAUUCACAAUGGGGGAAACCCUGAUGGUGCGACGCCGCGUGGGGGAAUGAAGGUCUUCGGAUUGUAAACCCCUGUCAUGUGGGAGCAAAUUAAAAAGAUAGUACCACAAGAGGAAGAGACGGCUAACUCUGUGCCAGCAGCCGCGGUAAUACAGAGGUCUCAAGCGUUGUUCGGAAUCACUGGGCGUAAAGCGUGCGUAGGCUGUUUCGUAAGUCGUGUGUGAAAGGCGCGGGCUCAACCCGCGGACGGCACAUGAUACUGCGAGACUAGAGUAAUGGAGGGGGAACCGGAAUUCUCGGUGUAGCAGUGAAAUGCGUAGAUAUCAAGAGGAACACUCGUGGCGAAGGCGGGUUCCUGGACAUUAACUGACGCUGAGGCACGAAGGCCAGGGGAGCGAAAGGGAUUAGAUACCCCUGUAGUCCUGGCAGUAAACGGUGCACGCUUGGUGUGCGGGGAAUCGACCCCCUGCGUGCCGGAGCUAACGCGUUAAGCGUGCCGCCUGGGGAGUACGGUCGCAAGAUUAAAACUCAAAGAAAUUGACGGGGACCCGCACAAGCGGUGGAGUAUGUGGCUUAAUUCGAUGCAACGCGAAGAACCUUACCUGGGCUUGACAUGUAAUGAACAACAUGUGAAAGCAUGCGACUCUUCGGAGGCGUUACACAGGUGCUGCAUGGCCGUCGUCAGCUCGUGUCGUGAGAUGUUUGGUUAAGUCCAGCAACGAGCGCAACCCCUGUUGCCAGUUACCAGCACGUGAAGGUGGGGACUCUGGCGAGACUGCCCAGAUCAACUGGGAGGAAGGUGGGGACGACGUCAGGUCAGUAUGGCCCUUAUGCCCAGGGCUGCACACGUACUACAAUGCCCAGUACAGAGGGGGCCGAAGCCGCGAGGCGGAGGAAAUCCUAAAAACUGGGCCCAGUUCGGACUGUAGGCUGCAACCCGCCUACACGAAGCCGGAAUCGCUAGUAAUCGCGCAUCAGCCAUGGCGCGGUGAAUACGUUCCCGGGCCUUGCACACACCGCCCGUCA